RNAcentral lists this long non-coding RNA (6725 nucleotides) under Sus scrofa (pig). RNAcentral describes it as "lncRNA (ENSSSCG00000054058.1)". Lineage: Eukaryota; Metazoa; Chordata; Mammalia; Artiodactyla; Suidae. The record is from RNAcentral.
CAAGAGCACUUAAACUUGCCAAAGUCAUUUUUAUCUUAAAACACACACAAACAGAGCAUUCCUAUUCUACUCCCUUUUAUAGCCAAGCUUUGUGAAGCUUUCUGUCUUUCUAUUUACUUUCUCCCUUUUAGAAAACAUAUUAAAGUAUUUCAAUUAUGCUAUGCUUCCCAAACUAUUGCAAUCUGAAUCCCACCUUACCUAACCUACUCUUGCUGAGGCCACGAGUGACCUUCGCGUUGCUAACACCAAUGGUCACGUUCACUCAGUAUCUUAUUUGACAUCUCAGCAUUUAGCACAGGCAGAUAGCUUCCUCCCCUGGGAUAAAAGACAUGCCACCCUCCUCUCCUGUUUUUUUUUCUCAUCUUUUCCACUCUUCCUUUCUCUUCUCCUUUAGUGUCUCUUCCUCCUCUAUCUGCAUUUAUUUUUUAAAACUUUUAUUGAAAUAAGGUUGAUUUACAAUAUUGUAUUAGUUUUAUGUAUACAGCAAAUUGAUUUAGUUAUACACACAGAUAUAUAAUCUCUUAUUUUUAAGAUUAUUUUUCAUUAUAUGUUACUACAAGAUUUAAUUAGUUUCCUGUGCUAUGUAGUAGGUCCUUGUUAGUUAUCCACUUCAUAUACAGUAGUGUAUAUAUUUUAAUCCCAGACUCCUAAUUUACUCCUCCCACCCACUUUCCCCUUUGGUAACCAUAAGUUUGUUUUCUAUGUCUUUGAUUUAUUUCUCUAUUGUAAAUAAGUUCAUAAGUCCCUUUUUUAGACUACGUAUAUAAGUGAUAGCAUAUGAUAUUUGUCUUUGCUCAACUGACUUCAGUCAGUAUGAUAAUCUUUAGGUCCAUCUAUGUUGCUGUAAAUGGCAUUAUUUCAUUCAUUUUUAUGGCGGACUAAUAUUCCAUUGUAUAUAUGUACCACAUCUUAAUCCAUUCAUCUGUUUAUGGACAUUUAGGUCAUUUCCAUGCCUUGGCUGUUGUGAAUAGUGCUACAGUGAACAUUGGGUGUAUGUAUCUUUUCAAAGUAUAGUUUCUCCAGAUGUAUACCCAGGAGUGGGAUUGAUGAUCUUAUGGUAAUUCUAUUUUUUUAGUUUUUGAAGCAAUUUUCAUAUUAUUAUCCAUAGUGGCUGUACCUUUUUACAUUCCCACCAGCAGUGUAAGAGGGUUUCCUUUUCUCCACACUCUUUCCAGCAUUUAUUAUUUUCUACCCAUGUUUAAAUGAUGGAAUUCCUGAGGGAACUGCUUAAAGUCUUCCUCUUUUCUCAUUCACCACACUCACAUCCUCAGCAAUCUCAACCAGUCCUGUGAGUCAUGUUCCACUUGUACAUAGACAACUCCCAGAUAUAUACCUAGACCAGACCUAUCCAGACCAACUGGAUAUAUGGUCUGAAAUUCAGAGCCAUAUAUCCAGUUGACAGUUCAACAUCUACUUAGAUAUGCACAGACAACUAAAACACAUGUCUAAGUCUGAACCAAUUUUCCCACCCAAAACUCCUUUCUGUCAGUGUUUUCUUUUGAAAAGUACAUCACAUACUCCUUGUGGCUCCUGACAGAAACCAGGGAACAAGUUUGGACCAAAGCACAGACAAUAGUAACCAUUUGUUCCACAUUUAUUUAGUGGGUGUUAAUAGUCUCCUAGGCAGCCAUAACAAGUUACCAUAAACUUGGUAGCUUAAAACAACAGAAAUCUCUUCUCUCACAGUUCUGGAGGUGAGAUGUCUGAAAUCAAGGUGUCAGCAUGGCCAUGCUCCCUUUGAAAGUCUCAGGUUGCUGUGGGUUGAAUUCGCUCUUCCAGCUGUUGGUGGCUCCAGGUGCUCCUUGGCUUGUGGCUGUGAAACCAAUCCUACCUCUGUCUUCAUGUGGCCCUCCUCUUUGUCUCAGCAUCCUUUAUUCUUUUGUAAAGACAUAUGUUACUGGAUUUAGGGCCCACUCUCAAUCCAGGACGAUUUCAUCUCCAGAUCCUUAACUAAUUACAUCUGCAAAAACCAUGUUCCUGAAUGAAGUCACAUUCUGAAGUUCUGAGUGGACAUGAAUUUCUGGGGACACUAUUAAACUUACUACCAGGAGAAUGGAAAGGAAUAAAUUUCAUAAUUCAAGAAAUAUAGACAGUAAAGUAUUCACUUAUUAAUUCACUUCCACAAGCCAAAACAUGGAAAAAAAAAUAAUUUUUUGGGGGGAGGGGAAUGACAAAAUCCUUUUCACUUUUCUCCAGUUUUAGUUUUCCUCAGCUAUUUUGCUUUGUUUUCCUAUGCUCCAAACUUAAUGAUGUAUUGUUUGGUAGAUAAAAAAAUAUUUAAAUUCUGAUAGUUAAACACAAAAACAGAAAAACGAUGUAUUUCAGUAAAUGGCAUUAGGCCUAGUUGGCUUUAAGAUCUUAACUGGUUCUAAGGGCUCAUUUUCAGCUGACUGCUCUGAAAACAGGUUCAGAGAGAGGCCUGCCCUAGUGGAGAGGGCGUUGUUGUUUCUCAGUUUCCACUCAUGGGUACUGUAUACUUAGCACUGUGUACAGUGGACUCUAUUUUAAGUUUACUAAGUUAUCCUGUGGAGUUAUCUGGUGAAGUUGUAACGCCUUUGAAAGGUCAGCAUUCUGACCUCUGUCAUGCUGAUUCUCCAUGGAACUUUGUCUGUCCAAGGUCAACCUUCAUAUGGCCUUCCCUCUCAUUCCCUACAUCCAAUCAAGUCCACCGAUUCUACACUCUAAAUAUCUCUCCCAUCCACCCACUUCUCUCUACCUCUACUGCCACAGCCCUAGUCCAAGCCACCACAUUCCCUGCUUGAACAACCUCAAUAGCUUCCUAACUAACCUUCCCAAACUUGCACAAAGCAACACUGUAAACUUUUUUAGAUACAAGAUUGAUCAUUUCACUCAUCCAUUUCAGUAUCAUUCUAUUCCCAUAUUUCAGAGGCCAAGCUCUUUACUAAGGCCCUCAUGGCACACUGCCUUCCGCACCCAAAAGAAGUUCUGCAGCUUUAUCUCUUACCAUGCUUGUUCUACAAAGCUCUGUUUCUUGAGAAUGUCAAACUCUCUCAAAAUACCUCAGGGCUUUUGCAUGUGCUAUUCCCUUUGGCUGGUGUAUUGCUUAAGAAUUUUACUUUUUUUUUUUACUUUUUUUUUUUAGCUAUUUCUUGGGCCGCUCCCACGGCAUAUGGAGGUUCCCAGGCUAGGGGUCCAAUCAGAGCUGUAGCCACCGGCCUACAGCAGAGCCACAGCAACGCGGGAUCCGAGACAUGUCUGCAACCUACACCACAGCUCACGGCAACGCCGGAUCCUUAACCCACUGAGCAAGGGCAGGGACCGAACCCGCAACCUCAUAGUUCCUAGUCGGAUUCGUUAAUCACUGCGCCACGACGGGAACUCCAAUUGCUUAAGAAUUUUAAAGCACAGGUUUUGUAUUGCAUUUGAGAUCCUAUUCUGUUGUUUAUGAAUUGUAUGGUCUUUUGCAAGUCUUUGAACUCCUCUAAGCCUCACUCUCUUCAUUUAAAAAAAAAAAAAGUGCAUGAAAAUAGCAUUCCCAAAAUUAGUAUAUGGACAAAUAAGAAAAGGAAUUUAAAAAAAUCUUCAAAGUUACAUAGUGCUAUAUAAAUUCUAGUUAUAAUUAUUACCGUUAUUCUAACAGAACUAUCCAACUGAAAGCCUUGAAUCUCACUUUAAAGUACAACUUAAGGACAAAGUUGACAGAUCUGUAUCAGUAUGUAAGUGCUUGCAGAAGAAUUUUUUUUUAUUAUUCUAAAAUUGAUUAUGUUCUAUCUAUAUACCUAUUAUAAUAAUUUGUUAAGCAUGCAAUUUUCAGCCUUUUUUUGAACAAGUUCCAAAGUAGCAGAAUCAAAAUUAAAAGUUUUAUGUCAUAUAAGGGAAAACGAGGUGGUUUCCUAUACAGUUUUAUGUGCAAUUUAUCUUGGUUGGCCUGAGAUUUUCACAGUCUUAGCAUCGAAAGUUCCAUAUCCUGAGGACCCCCCUCAGUUAGUUAAUCACACCACUGAUCAGCAAAAGUCUUUGAUGUACCUUCUGUCUGCAAGAAAAGUCCUUUCUAUGCCUCAUCCAAGGCUCCCACUCCUUGCUGACUGUAUAUGGAGGAGUUCCCUAAUGCACAUGAAAAUGGUAGAGUCAAGGAAGGGGGAGCAUUGCCUGCCUUGGUUUUUCUCAAAGCCCUGGCAAUGAGCAAGAUGCUAGGGGCUUAAGAACCUGGCUUUGGAGAGUUGCAAGUAAAUGGUAUGAUCUGAGAGCAAACCCCAGCUUCUGUAGCUACCACAGGGGCCAAGAUGGUAUCCUAUUCUGUGGGAGCAAAUAUUGAGGGUGAGGAAUGGGUACUUCCCCACCCAUGGGGAUAUAUGGGGAGAUCUCAGUGGAUUCCUACAGUGGAACAGGCCAGGCCUGUGAGUUACAGCUGUUUCAGGUCUUGGUCAUCCCAGAGAUGCUAAGCAGUACAAAAUAAAGCUGUGUUGUACUUGUUCUGCUGGGCACUUGCCAUGCUGCUCACUAGCAAGGAACUGUCUCAUGAAUGCUGGGUGCUGGGGAAUCUCACCAGGGAAGACAAGGGCUUAAGAGAGGGGAAGUGCUACCCAUGUCACAAAAUUUCUGUCCUAAAGUUUGUACCAGAACAGUGCUAAGGCAAGGUUCAUGGUUUCAAAGCUACCAUGGCAGCCUACCUCCAGUGUCAUACUCAUUAGUGAGUUUUCAUGCCCUGCCUGUCCAGAGCCCAAGGCAUUUAUUAUUAUUAUUAUUUUUUUUUUUGCUGUACUUGUGGCAUAUGGAAGUCCUAGGUCAGGAAUUGUUGCAAGACAUGUUUUUAUAAUAUUUCCUUAGCCUCUUUGCUGAAAACUCCAUCUUGUCCUUCUUUACUUUAUUCCACCUUCCGGCUUGAAAAACAGUCACAGUGAUGGUAAAUGAUUUAAGCUUAAGAACAAAGACCUAAGGGCAUGGGUUAUUCGCGGGGUCAGCUGAAUGAGGACAGAAUACAAUGGUCUAGGUGCACCGGACCUGUGCAGAUUGGCACGCCAUUUGCACAAGCAUGAUAUGUCCUCUAAAGAAUAAGAGAAAGAGGAACCUCAUGGCUAAAUGGUUUAUGAGUGGUCGUUUGCAGAAUAUGCAUUAGCAAAGAGAACCAAGGUGCAAACCUAGGCACACAAGGUUGCCGCAAAUAGGCAUGCUGGUUUGCUGAAGCACAGUGAGGAUUCUCUGAAAUGCUAUGCAUAGAUAGCUAACUCAUAUGCUAAUCAUUCUUAAAUGCCUAAAGUUUAGAGUAAAAAGUUUAACCAUUUACCAGCUAAGUGACUUUUAAUAUAAUAAAAAAACCCUAUAUCCUGCACCCACAACCCCCUUUUCACUUGACAUAAUCCUCAAGAGCACAAUACAAGCAGUGUGGUUUCUUGAGGCAGGGCUCUUGCUUGUUGGUCCCUGAGACCUUGAGUCCCCUGGUUCCUACCUUUACUUAAGAUAAAUGUCUCUGUGUCUUGUUUUAUGUUAACUUUUUUUCCUUAAGUUCCAUAGCACCCAUUCUUCAGCCCCAUCCUGCUGAGCUGGUCUCGGCGAGGAAUCAAAUCCAAGUCACAGCUGUGACCUAUGGCACACCCUCUGUGACCUAUACCUCAGCUUGCUCAACCCUAGAUCCUUAACCUAUUGAAUGAGGCCAUGGAUCGAACUGCAUCCUCAGCAGUGACCUGAACUGGUGCAGAGACAACACUGGCUCCUGAACCUGCUGUGUCCAGAGCUCAAGGCAUUUAUAACUGGUGCUCAGCCUUCUCAGUCCUCCCCACAUUCAUCUACGACAUACUUACUAUCACUUCCAAACCCAGAAUCAUCACCAUUUUUCCAACUCCUACCCUCUUCUCAAUGUCUUCCCUCUUUUGGGUGGCAUCUUCUUUUGUAUAAAAUGAGUUUUCUUUCCUCACUCUGCCCUUUUAUGGGGAGCUACCUCAUAAUUGGCCAGUGAUUUCCUGUUUCCAUUCAUGUUAUGACCUAUUGUUAAUUCAUCUCCUGAAGAAAAGAAAGAGCAAGCCUUCAGUGUACUUUCUUGGUAGGUGCCCGUUUUGGUAGGGUUCACAUUAUAUCCUAAGUAAAUUAUUGAUAGAAGAACUGGAAGCAUGGCUACAAGGAAAACAGCAAAAUGAAUCCCAGGUUUUUAUAACAGAAGAAUCACACCGUUGUCAUAGUGUUUUUUUUUCCUAGUGAAGACAUGGCAUUCUUCUGCUAAUCUGGUUAUAAACACCCAGGGUUGGGGUCUAAGUACUAAUUUUCUUUACACUGAAAUAUGCUAGGAGGAUUGUGUAGUGUCCUGUCAGGGCUGUGGGGUCAAUUACUUAAACAUGACAACAUCAUUGUCUUAGUUUUUGACAUUUUGUCAGAACGUAGCAGCAGUUCAUCUGAUGCUCUCUGUGGCAGUGGGUUCCUUGUUUGCCUUAGCCCACAGCUUGAGCUAUCCUUUUGUUUAUUUUGGUUCUUUUUGAAAGGCCCUUUUUGUGGUCUUAGGCACUAUAAGUAGAUGGAGUGAAACCAGGAGUUAAUGUGUAAAGUUUUUCAUCUUCAGAGAGUUUCGUUUCAAACUCACUCUGGGUCACAUGUACACGGAGUUGAGUUUUUGUUUGGAUAGAAUGCUUUGGCUUGGAGAGAAAGAACAGGAAGUGGUACAUUCCAGCCCCCAGGCAGCAGCUUCUGCUUGUCAAGCCUUUCUGGACAAUAAGUUCACAGACAUUUAGUAAGGGUGACUCUGGGAAGUAAUUUACAAAUUAUGCUAAGAGAAACAC